AGUGAACGCUGGCGGUAGGCCUAACACAUGCAAGUCGAACGGCAGCACAGUAAGAGCUUGCUCUUACGGGUGGCGAGUGGCGGACGGGUGAGGAAUACAUCGGAAUCUACUUUUUCGUGGGGGAUAACGUAGGGAAACUUACGCUAAUACCGCAUACGACCUACGGGUGAAAGCAGGGGAUCUUCGGACCUUGCGCGAUUGAAUGAGCCGAUGUCGGAUUAGCUAGUUGGCGGGGUAAAGGCCCACCAAGGCGACGAUCCGUAGCUGGUCUGAGAGGAUGAGCAGCCACACUGGAACUGAGACACGGUCCAGACUCCUACGGGAGGCAGCAGUGGGGAAUAUUGGACAAUGGGCGCAAGCCUGAUCCAGCCAUACCGCGUGGGUGAAGAAGGCCUUCGGGUUGUAAAGCCCUUUUGUUGGGAAAGAAAAGCAGCAGGUUAAUACCCCGCUGUUCUGACGGUACCCAAAGAAUAGGCACCGGCUAACUUCGUG
This 492-nucleotide ribosomal RNA is filed under the name uncultured bacterium. RNAcentral's name for it is "partial 16S ribosomal RNA". It matches the Rfam family "Bacterial small subunit ribosomal RNA", at positions 29 to 507 of the family's 1533-position model. The record is from RNAcentral.